GCUGACGCAGCGACGCCGCGUGGGUGAUGAAGCUCUUCGGAGUGUAAAGCUCUGUCAGAGGGGACGAAACGCGAUAGUGAGAAUAUCACUUUCGCCUGACGGUACCCUCAGAGGAAGCCCCGGCUAACUACGUGCCAGCAGCAGCGGUAAAUCGUAGGGGGCGAGCGUUGUCCGGAAUUAUUGGGCGUAAAGGGCGUGUAGGUGGGCCUGUAAGUCAAGUGUGAAAUCCCUCGGCUUAACCGAGGAUCUGCGCUUGAAACUACUGGUCUUGAGUACAGGAAGGGAAAGUGGAAUUCUGCGUGUAGCGGUGAAAUGUGUAGAUAUGCAGAAGAACACCGGUGGCGAAGGCGGCUUUCUGGCCUGAUACUGACACUGAAACGCGAAAGCUAGGGGAGCGAACAGGAUUAGAUACCCUGGUAGUCCUAGCCGUAAACGAUGGGCACUAGGUGUUGGAGGUAUUGACCCCUUCAGUGCCGAAGCUAACGCAUUAAGUGCCCCGCCUGGGGAGUACGAUCGCAAGGUUGAAACUCAAAGGAAUUGACGGGGGCCCGCACAAGCGGUGGAGCAUGCGGUUCAAUUCGAUGCAACGCGAAGAACCUUACCGGGGUUUGACAUGUACCUGAAAGGCGUAGAGAUACGC
RNAcentral lists this ribosomal RNA (640 nucleotides) under uncultured bacterium. RNAcentral's name for it is "bacterial SSU rRNA". It matches the Rfam family "Bacterial small subunit ribosomal RNA", at positions 382 to 1011 of the family's 1533-position model. The record is from RNAcentral.